Molecule: long non-coding RNA, 831 nt
Organism: Actinia tenebrosa (Australian red waratah sea anemone)
Lineage: Eukaryota; Metazoa; Cnidaria; Anthozoa; Actiniaria; Actiniidae
Source: RefSeq, a predicted model, not a curated record
UCGUUUCGUAGAUUCUCUUUAGUACUUUAGGCGGGAAGUUCAAUAAUUUGAGCGACGCGCGCGACAAGAUCACAUCCAGAAGAAGUGACCGCCAUCUUGAGCUUAUGUUUCGCUAUUAAUUUUUCGCUGAAUUUAGCCCUUUUAGCUGAAAAAUUAUGCUUUUAGAGAACCAGAACGAAAGUGUAUUGCUGGUCUGAUGCUGAUGGAACCAACCUCAUUGGAUAGCUUCCUCCAUUAUUAUUGCUGGUGCUGUUGACGCCAUUUCUGUAUAUACCAAGGGGAGUUGGUGCAGCCUGGAUAAUCAGAGAAAAUAUUUCUAUAAACUGCCUGGAUUAGAAUGAUCACAAACAAUGCAAGGGAUCAAGGAAGUAACUAUUAAUUCCAAAUGGUCAUAUUAUAAUAUGGAAUCUGCUGUGGUGGAAGAGAAARACCAGAGAACCCUGAGAAGAACUCUCAAACCAAGGAUGUUUGUUAGGAGACCCAUGUCCAAGUUCCCUUGCCCAAGCUAGUAUGUGAGCUGAGUUUGUUUGAUGUGUGGUUCUCUCCUAUGCUACAAGGGUUCUCUCUGGAUUCUCUGGUUUUCCUCUCUUCAUAAGAAUCAACAUUUGCUAACAGCAAUAUACCACCACCUGGCUCUGAUGGAUAAAAAUCUUCUAUCACCUAUAUAUCACACAAAGGAAAACACUGUCAUUAAUCCAUGACGCAAAGGGCGGUUUAGGCUCUAAGAAAUAUCAUUCUUCAUUAGGAUUCAGUCCAUUCCAAAAAAAUUUAAGUCAUUUCUGGAACUACCCAAUGAACUAGAAACUGAACUAACCAACAUACCUUUACAAG